GUUUGUUUUUUUUCUUGUAAGUUUGUUGAGUUCUUUGUAGAUUCUGGAUAUUAGCCCUUUGUCAGAUGAGUAGAUCGCAAAAAUUUUCUCCCAUUCUCUAGGUUGCCUGUUCACUCUGAUGAUAGUUUUUUCUUUUUUUUCUUUUUUUGCUGUGCAGAAACUCUUUGGUUUAAUUAGAUCUCAUUUGUCUAUUUUGGCUUUUGUUGCCAUUGCUUUUGGUGUUUUAGACAUGAAGUCCUUGCCCAUGCCUAUGUCCUGAAUGGUAUUGCCUAGGUUUUCUUCUAGGCUCACCCACCUUUUUAACCUGCUUCUGCUCCUACUCAGUUCACCCUUUAUCCAACUUCCACUUCCCUCUGCUGCUCUCCUGCCUCACCUUGACUCUUCGUUGCUUUGCCUAUUGCACACCGAAUUUACUGCAAAUAAAACUCUCUCUGAGAAGGAUGCUGCUGCGUACUGCAUCGUGCAUCCUCCAUCUUCUACUCCACUUGUGGAGUUCCAUGGUAUGAGCAGUAGAGUAGCAGGAGCUGGAGCAGAGGUGGUGUUGGGUGAAACUCACACAGUGAAAUUUCACUUAUGCAAAUGCUCAAGCACUUGUGAGAGGUUAGAAUUAGCUCUUUCUUUGGAAUGAGCUAUUUCAGUGAGAUGUUAAAGUGUAAGCUCUUUCACCAAAUAAAUAUUUAUGUGCUCAGGGUGAGUGAAAGAAAGGGGUAAAUAAGGAUUAGUGCUGCAGGGUCAGAGCUAAUGACACAAGCUUCUCUCCUCAGGCCUAUUCAUUUGAGAUACAUCUCAGGCACUUAAGCACAGCAAUGCUAAGUUGGUGCUGAUUAUAUACAUACAUACAUAUAAAUAUAUAGAAAGCAUAUAAUAUAAAUAUUACAUACGUAAAUAUAAAUUGUAGCAAUAAAAUCAACACCAAGCUUGUUUUUAAUCAUUCACUCAAAAUACAUUGAACAGCUACUGUGCAGUGUUGGGACUGCUUAGAAACUUAAGACAAAAUACUGGGCAUGAUAAUGUGUGCCUGUAGUCCCAGCUACUCAAGAUGCCUAGGCAGGAGGAUGGCUUGAAUUCAAGAGUCCAAGUGCAGCCUGGGCAACAUAGUGAGAUUCAGUCUUUUUUUUUUUUUUUUUUCUGAAAUGGAGUCUCACCCUGUGGCCCAGGCUGGAGUGCAGUGGCACAAUCUUGCCUCACUGCAACCUCCACCUCCUGGGUUCAAGUGAUUCUCCUGCCUCAUCCUUCUGAGUAACUAGGAUUACAGGCAUGCGCCACCACACUCAGCUGAUUUUGUAUUUUUAGUAGAGAUGGGGUUUCACCAUGUUGGCCAGGCUGGUCUCGAACUCCUGACCUCAAGUGAUCCACCCACCUCGGCCUCCCAAAGUGCCGGGAUUACAGGCACGAGCCACCAUGCCCAGCCAAGACCCAGUCUUUAAAAUAAUGACAUAAAAUAAACACAUAAACCUCAAACAAACAAAACACAAACUAUGAUUUCAAUCAUUCUGAAGCUCUUGAUCUAGUAGAUGAGUUAUAUAUAUAUAUAUAUGCCAAAAAUAUUACAAUUUUAGAGAAGUGUUAUAGGGUCUAAUGUUUAAUAACUUCUGGCAUUUGACUGAUGGUUUUCAAAGCUCUUUCCCCAUUUUCCAGGGGGCAUAAAUUAAGGCAAAUUUUUUUAGUAUUUACUAAAUUUGGGCUUCUUCAUAUGCAAGGGGAUUAUGAUAAUAAUACUUACCUUGUGAGGACAGUAUGAGGACUAAACAAAAUUGUGUAUUUAUAGCUUUGGCCAAUCCCCAUACACACUGAGCGCUCAACCAGGUGUUAGCUACCAGAUUUUAAAUUUUUAAUUAUGUUUAUAGUUUUUAAGGUAACAUUUACAUUCAUUGAAUGUUAACUGAAUGUUUUUGAUGAAUGAAUACACUUAUGUAAUUCAUAGCCCUAUCAAGACAGACCAUUUUUAGCACCCAGAAAUUUAUCUUGUGUACCUUCCCAGUGAAUCCCCUGCUAGAAGGAACUGCUGUUAUGAUUUUUUCACCACAGAUUAAUUUUGCCUUUUCUGGAAUUUCAAAUAAAUGGGAUGGUAUGUACUCUUUUGUGUCAUUUAUUUAUCUUCAGAUACUUUAAAAUAAAAAGGUCCAAUUGGGGAUGUAGUAAAAACCUCCUUCCCACCAGUAGCCACCAGUCAAGAUUCUUUCCCUCUCUCUCUCUUUUUUUUUUUGACAGGAUCUUGCUCUGUCAUCCAGGCUGGAGUGCAGUGGCAUGAUCAUGGCUCACUGCAGCCUCUCAACCUUCUGGGCUCAAGCAAUCCUCCCACGUCAACCUCCCAAAUAGCUGGGACUACAGGUGUCCACCACGCCCAGCUAAUUUUGCUUGUAUUUUGUGUAGAGACAGGGACUCACGAAGUUGCCCAGGCUAAUGUCAAACUCCUGAGCUCAAAUGAUCUGUCAGCCUUGGCCUCCCAAAGUGCUUGGAUUACAGGCAUAAGCCACUGUUCCUGGCUUGGUCUUCCUCUCUUGAAGCAACCAAUAUUAUUAGUUUUAUGUGGACCAUCCCAUGGCUAUCAUUAUUAAUUCAGGUGUUUAUACAAUGCUCUCUGAGAACUCAGUUUUAAAGAUUACCCAAAGAAUCCCUGCGACAACCCAGCCUAAAACGAUAUAAAAUCAGUUUUAAUAUAACUGAAGUUUUUAGAUUCUGACUCUAAAUAUUAGAUUGUGACAUUUUACCUUUCUCUGACUUUAUGCUAAAUUUACUUCAACUUCUAACAUCUAUCGUUCUCAUUUAUGAACAAAUAUGUAUUUCACAAAUGUGGAAAUACAACCAUGAGCCAAACAAAACCAAAUCCUGGACUUAUGGAGCUGAUGGUAAAAAAUUCCCCAAGAUAACCACUGGAUUACAGUUUUAUGCAAUGUGAUAAGAGUAAGGGACCACCGUAGGGAGGUCAGAAGUUGCCUCUCAGAGGUGGAGACUACAGCUGUUGUCAGAAGGAUGAGGGUUGGAAGAAUCUUCAGGCACAGAGCAAAGCAUGAGCAAAAGCUCUGUGGAGUCCAGGAAGCUGGGUAAAUAGGAAUAAAAGAGGCCAGUUUGGCUGGAGCAGAGAGAAAAGAAUGGAAUUGGUCUGACCUGUGAGAAGAGAUGGAGAGGUGGGCAAGGUGCCUGGCCAUUCAGGGCUUGGUUAGUUAGGAGGUUUUGUCUAAGAGAAUGGGAAGGUGUUUAAGUGGUUUGGGCUGGGAAGUGACAGGGUUCACAUUACAUUUUGAAAAAGCCACUCUGCCUGUUGUGUUGAGAUUAGAGAGGUGAUAAAGGGGAUAUGGGUAAACCACAGGGAGACUAGGUCAGUUGUCCCUCCACCCCCACUCCCCAGGUGAAGGUAGCCUAGACUAGGGUGGUGAUGGAGGAGACAGAAGAGGACAGAUUCAAGGAAAAUUUGGAAGGUAAAAACCAGUAGGAUUUGCUGAUGGAUGGAAUACAGGAGGGGAGAGGUAGAUUAUCAGGGAUGUAUCUUAGUUUUCUUAUAGAAGAUGGAUUCAAUUGCAAUGAAAUUGUUAAUUGAAAUUUACUUUAAAUAAUGGCACGACCUAAAGUUAUGCAAACAUUUGCCUUAGAUAAAAUUUCAAGUUUUCAAAGUUUUUAGCUGGGUGGACAGCAUGGCUUUACUUCGUAUGUCUUGGUUAUUUCCUAAUCUUGUUGAAAAAAAAGUUUUUCUUUUUCUCAAAGGCUUAUUUCAGUGGAAGCCCAUCUGCGAAAUGUGUUAUAAAUUUAAAUUGGAAAAUACAAGUGCCAUCGACACGUUGGUUACUGUUUUUGCGAGUGACCUAAGGCCACCUCUCGGAGGAGCUGGGGCUGCCUUCUGAAGCCUGCGCGUCUGCGGCCCGAGCCUGCAAGUCAGACUACGGGGCGGUGCGGAAGCGCGAGGCCUGGAGUCCUAAACGCCCGGUAGCUCCCGGCUCCCAAGGGGGUGUGUCUCCCGCCUCUUUAACCUGGCAGGGGCGGUUCCAGUGGCCGGGGAAAUCAGCGAAUUGCAGGGUCAAGGGCUGGUGCUUUGAAAAAGAGGCGGAGGGGAGAGAGGGAUUUCCCCGUCCCCGCUGCACUCCAUCCUCCGUUACUCGUUUUCUCAGCCCCUGCGGCCCCUAACCUGCUCCAACCCGUUGUGCGGUAGAGGCGGCAGUGUCCUUUUAAGUCCCUGCUACGCCUGCGCUGGGCGGCGGUAGAGACAGCGGCGGUGCUGGGACGGGUAGGUGAGGGUCGCGAGGCUGCCUGAGCUUCUGAGUGAGCCUGGUGCUUUUGGGAACGCGGGACGGGCCACCUGCGGCGCCAAGAGCAAGGCCGAGGCACCGCGCCGCUGCCGCCUGGAUGGGAAGUUAAGGCUUAUUGCGAAGUACACCCAGCGUUCCGAGGUGAGGGCGCUGCGCCAGGCCAGGCGGGCGGCGAGUCUGGGACCUGCGGGCGCACAGCUGGGCUGAGGCGCGGCUCGCGGGGGCCCCCGCAAGUUUUGCCACGCGAAUGGGGCUGACGCGCCAGGCCCCGCCGGGGCCUACUUUCCCUGCGCUGGAUUCCUCGCUUGCGGCUGCCGCCCGCAGCCCUCCUCUCAUGGGCGCUGGGGAAGAAACUCGCUGGCGGGUGUUCUGUGGCAUCCCAGGGAGUGGAGGAACGGAGCAGCUUGGGGGGCACGUCCUUGGAAGUCCUGUGGAGCACACUGACCCCACACCCCACCCUCGAGGAGGUUCCUUCUGGGAACCUGAGGGGCAAGAGUGCUCGCGCCCCUGACUUGCAAAGUUGGGGUCUUUAUUGGCCUCAGGGAUUGUGCUCCUGGCGGUGUCUCCAGGCUGGUGAUGGGCAAGCCAGGUGUGCCAGGUCCAGGAUGCACGUGAGGAGCGUUUGUAGCCAUCACUGAAUCACCUCAUGACUAGCGGGACAAGCGUCAAAUUCACAGCAGGAUUUCUGGCAAUCUGAAGGCAAAUCCUAUUUAGACCCAGGCAAAGGUUCCUGGUGACCCAGGCUCUCACCAGCUGAUUGUCCCUUACCGUCCUCCUGAGGGUGUCUGGAGCUUCAGUGCUGUGUGCUCUUGGCCUCCACCCUUGGGGUGCCACCGACUCCCACUGUCCAGGGCUUCCAGUGGACUCUCUGAGGCACUGACGUAGAAACUUCCCCAUUCAGUGCACCAAGAGCAGCCUCACACGGUGUGGGCCGACAUGAAGAGCUGCCAGAUCCAACAGGAUGGAAUACAAUGGCACGAUCUCAGCUCACUGCAACCUCCACCUCCUGGGUUCAAGUGAUUCUCCUGCCUCAGCCUCCUGAGUAGCUGGGAUUACAGGCACCUGCCACCACACCUGGAAAUGUGAUUGAUAACAGUAAAGCCACACUCUUCACAUACCUGAAAUACCCCUCACUGUCUUCUUCAGGUGUCAAGGGCUCUGGAACAGCCACAUAAAGGUGAGGGCAAUGUUUUUACUGUAGUUCUUUCAUUGAUUGAUUGAUUGAUUGAAUUUUUUUCUCUUAGAGGGGUUAGCAUCCAUGUAUCUAAAAUUGAAAUUCAAGAGGAGAGACAGGCACCUGUACUAGUUUUCUCUUGCUGCCUAUUAUCACAUUACCACAAACCAGUGGUUUGAAACCACAGAAGUCUGGAAUGAAGUGGCUGGAUUCUCUGAUGAGAGUCAUGUGAGGCUAAAAUCCAGGAAUGGGCUGGCUGUAUUUUUUUAUAGAGCUCAAGUUAUUUUUCCAAGUUCACUACAGAUACUGAAGGCCUUCCUAUUCUUGUUUCUGGGGGACUGAGGGCCCUUUGUCUUUGCUGACUGUCAGCCGGGAGACACUCUGACUCCAGAGGCCACCUGCUUUCCUCCUUACCUCUCUUUUCCAUCAUCAACCAAUAAUAACUCAUGGAGUCCUUCUCAAGCUCCUACCUUCUCUGAGUACAGAUCCUUGACAUAAUUCCCUUACCUCCUUUGACCUGUGAAACUGAGCUAACAGCUUAUCUGCCCCUGAUUUGAAAUGAUGGGACAGACAGAAUAACAACUACAGUGAUUCUAGUUCAAAAUGAGGGAAGAUGGAGGGGAUAAAGAAGUCACUGACCUAAAAUAGUUUGGAAAUGGAGCUGGGCAAAAUCCAGCAGGAGUUUCUUAAUUAGGAUCCACAGCCUGGGACUGACCUGCCAUCCUGUGGGUCUUUGCCUCUGGGCUCUCUGCUCUGCAUUUCUUGAAACCAUUAUUGUUUAUCUUUUUUCUCACACUCUUUUGUGUGUGGCUCCUGUUGCACUCAAAAUGUUUUUGAGAUUCAUCCAUGUUGUUUUGUGUGUCAACAGUUUGUUCCUUUAGCCAUUCCAUGGAAUGAAUGUGUCAAAGUUUAUUGAUCCAUUCUUGUACUGACAGAUACUUGAAUGUUUCCAGUUUUUCCUAUUGUGAAUAAAACUGCUAUGAACAUUCUUGUAU
Long non-coding RNA from Gorilla gorilla gorilla (western lowland gorilla), 6410 nucleotides. RefSeq lists it as uncharacterized. The transcript is spliced from 4 exons. The record is from RefSeq and is a predicted model, not a curated record. NCBI's taxonomy places the organism in Eukaryota, Metazoa, Chordata, Mammalia, Primates, Hominidae.